Molecule: ribosomal RNA, 669 nt
Filed under: uncultured bacterium
Lineage: Bacteria
Description: bacterial SSU rRNA
Rfam family: Bacterial small subunit ribosomal RNA
Source: RNAcentral
AUACCGCAUAAGCCCACAGCACCGCAUGGUGCAGCGGGAAAAGGAGCAAUUCGCUUCAGGAUGGCCUCGCGUCCAAUUAGGUAGAUGGUGAGGUAACGGCCCACCAUGCCGACGAUUGGUAGCCGGACUGAGAGGUUGAACGGCCACAUUGGGACUGAGACACGGCCCAGACUCCUACGGGAGGCAGCAGUGGGGAAUAUUGCACAAUGGGGGAAACCCUGAUGCAGCGACGCCGCGUGGAGGAAGAAGGUUUUCGGAUUGUAAACUCCUGUCUUCGGGGACGAUAAUGACGGUACCCGAGGAGGAAGCCACGGCUAACUACGUGCCAGCAGCCGCGGUAAAACGUAGGUGGCAAGCGUUGUCCGGAAUUACUGGGUGUAAAGGGAGCGCAGGCGGGUCGGCAAGUUGGAGGUGAAAGCUGUGGGCUCAACCCACAAACUGCCUUCAAAACUGCCGAUCUUGAGUGGUGUAGAGGUAGGCGGAAUUCCCGGUGUAGCGGUGGAAUGCGUAGAUAUCGGGAGGAACACCAGUGGCGAAGGCGGCCUACUGGGCACUAACUGACGCUGAGGCUCGAAAGCGUGGGUAGCAAACAGGAUUAGAUACCCUGGUAGUCCAUGCCGUAAACGAUGAUUACUAGGUGUGGGAGGAUUGACCCCUUCCGUGCCGCAG